AUGCGCCGCCCACCACGGCUCCGAGCAGCCUCCUCGCCCUCGCUCGCAUGGCGUUCCCUCUGCGCCACCGCCAUUCCCAUUCCCGCCGCGCCGCCCCACCAAACCGAUCCCCUGUCUGCCCACUUCUCCAACCGCCCGGCCGCGCGCGACCCCGCCGUCGUGGAGAACCUCACCUCCACCCUCCGCGCGCUCUUCGCCUCAUCCCCGUCCCACCCGCGUGCCUUCACCCUCCUCAAGUCGGCCGCCUUCGACGCGGGUCUCGCCCCGGGCGCCCUCGUCGACGCCGUCCUCUCAGCCGCGGCCGGCCCUCACUCCGGCUCCCCCGUCGCAGCCGUUCACGUGUCCCUCCUCAGCCGCCUCCUCACCUCCCUCUCCCGCGCCGGCCGCGCCAGCGCGGCCGCCGACGCGUACGCCCACAUGGUCGCCCGCGGCGUUGUCCCGGAUGUCAAGUCCCGCACCGACCUGCUCGUCACCACCGCGCGCUGCUCGUCGGCCCGGGACGCGCUUGCGCUCUUCGCGGAGAUGCGGGGGAGGGGCGACCGCGUGGACGCAUGGAUGUUCGAUGCGCUCAUGCGGGCCUGCGUCAAGGAAGGGAUGCUCGAGGAUGCUGUCAGGCUGUUUGAUGAAAUGCCCGGCGCUGAGAUCGAGCCCGACCAGCGCGUCUACGCUCUUGUGAUCGCGGCACUGUGCAAACUGCGUGAUGCUGACCGCGGGCUCCUCCUCCUUGGGGAGAUGAAGGAGGCUGGCUUCGAGACGUGGGACUUCACCUACAGGUCUCUGGUGGAUGUGCUUGUCAAGGUGGGGAGGAUGGAGGAGGCUCUGCGGGUCAAGGACGAGAUGCUGUCUGCUGGCAAGAAAAUGGAUGUCGUUCUCGCGACGAUUUUGAUGCAUGGGUAUUGCUUGCGAGGCGAGGUCGAGAAAGCUCUGGAUCUUUUCGACGAGACCCUGGCGAAUGGUAUAUUGCCAACUAAUGUGACGUAUGGGACGCUUAUAAGAGGCUGUGAUCAAGCUGGGAUGACACAGAAGGUGUAUGUGCUAUAUCGCCAGAUGAGAGGGCAAGGGCUGUUGCCAAGUUCACACGAGUUCAGUUUGGUUAUCAAGGGCCUGUUGUGCGAUAAACGGUGGGCAGAUGCUGUAAGCUUGUGUCUGGAGAUGGCUGAUUCUAGGCUACCGGAUGUCUUCACGUACAAUGGUCUAAUUCAUUGGCUCUGCCAGCAACACAAGCUCCGCGAAGCACUUAACUUGUUUGGUAAGAUGAAGGAAACUGGAGUGAAACCAUCUGUUGUGACAUACAACAGCUUGUUAAUGGGUUACUGUGAGAAGGGGUGCAUGGAUGAAGCAGUCAAACUGUACUCAGAGAUGCCUGUGGAAGGAUUUGUACCUAAUGUUUUCACGUAUACAUUUUUGAUGAAAGGGUAUAUCAAGAAGAAGGCUUUUGACAAGGCAUAUGCCCUCCUUGAUGAAAUGAAACAAAAUGGAGUUUCUUGCAAUGAGUAUACACAUAAUGUUCUCAUAAAUGGCAUUUGCAUGAGUGACCGGAUUUAUGAAGUUGAUGAAAUUUUGAAGAACUUCAUAGGUGAAGGUUUUGUCCCGACCACAAUGACAUACAACAGUAUCAUCAAUGGAUUUGUGAAAGCUGGUAUGAUGGGCUCAGCAUUUGCUAUGUAUCAGCAGAUGCGUGAGAAAGGUAUACCCGCCAACAUAGUAACAUAUACCAGUUUCAUUGACGGUUACUGCAGGACCAGUUGUUGUGAUCUGGCACUUAAAAUGCUAAAUAAUGUGAGGCGCAAAGGCCUUCAACCUGACAUUGCUGCAUACAAUGCUUUAAUAAGUGGGUUUUGCCAUGAAGGGAAUAUGUCUCAUGCACUGCAAUUUCUUGUUAUUCUGCUGAAAGAUGGUCUAACACCCACAUCUGCCGUCUACACUAAUUUUAUUACCGGGUACAAGGAUUUGAAAAUGAUGAAAGAAGCUUCCAAAUUCUAUGAGAGCAUGAUUAAAGAAGGAAUUGCUGCUGAUACAGUAACAUACACUACCUUAAUCGACGGUUUCUCAAAAGAUGGCAAUGUAGCCUUUGCAUUGGAAUUGUACUCAGAGAUGAUGGCCAAGGGUAACAUUCCCGAUAGUAUCACUUUCACAGCGUUAACACAUGGCCUUUGCCGCAUUGGAGACAUUGAUGGUGCCAAGAAGUUAUUGGAUGACAUGAAGAGGUUGGAUGUACGCCCUAAUGCUCUUAUUUAUAACAUGCUGAUAAAUGGAAGCCUCCGUGAUGGUAAGCUGCAAGAAGCAUUCCAGUUGCAUGAUGAAAUGCUCAACAGGGGAAUUGUUCCUGAUGAUACAACAUCUGACAUAUUGGCUGGCCAGAGAUCUCCGGAAGGUGACAGUUGUGUUGAUGCAGAGAGUCCUAUUUAA
RNAcentral lists this ribosomal RNA (2409 nucleotides) under Triticum aestivum (bread wheat). Its description in RNAcentral is "partial small subunit ribosomal RNA". Lineage: Eukaryota; Viridiplantae; Streptophyta; Magnoliopsida; Poales; Poaceae. The record is from RNAcentral.